RNAcentral lists this transfer RNA (73 nucleotides) under Felis catus (domestic cat). It matches the Rfam family "tRNA". From Rfam's summary of the family: Transfer RNA (tRNA) molecules are approximately 80 nucleotides in length. Their secondary structure includes four short double-helical elements and three loops (D, anti-codon, and T loops). Lineage: Eukaryota; Metazoa; Chordata; Mammalia; Carnivora; Felidae. RNAcentral also lists the same sequence under 5 other names. The record is from Rfam by way of RNAcentral.
ACCUGGCUGGCUCAGUCAGUAGAGCAUGCAACUCUUGAUUUUGGGAUGGUGAGUUCAAGCCUCAUGUUGGGCA